Molecule: long non-coding RNA, 211 nt
Filed under: Elaeis guineensis (African oil palm)
Lineage: Eukaryota; Viridiplantae; Streptophyta; Magnoliopsida; Arecales; Arecaceae
Description: long non-coding RNA (EGUI_LNC080866)
Source: RNAcentral
UUGCUUUUAGUUGGGUUUUUGGGUCCUGUGUUUCUUUAUCCUCGUUAUCUAUAAUUGUGGUUUUGUUUGUCAGGGAAAUGUUAAUGAAUGUCAUUGGAGGGAUUUGCUAAUAUUAAUACAUUAUUUUAUUUAUUUAUAUUUAUUACUUAAUUUUUUUAAUAUAUUUUUAUAUAUUUAUUUUUAUAGUAAAAAAUAUUUUUUUUAUUUUUUG